RNAcentral lists this transfer RNA (68 nucleotides) under uncultured Bifidobacterium sp. It matches the Rfam family "tRNA", at positions 5 to 66 of the family's 71-position model. From Rfam's summary of the family: Transfer RNA (tRNA) molecules are approximately 80 nucleotides in length. Their secondary structure includes four short double-helical elements and three loops (D, anti-codon, and T loops). Further hydrogen bonds mediate the characteristic L-shaped molecular structure. tRNAs have two regions of fundamental functional importance: the anti-codon, which is responsible for specific mRNA codon recognition, and the 3' end, to which the tRNAs corresponding amino acid is attached (by aminoacyl-tRNA synthetases). tRNAs cope with the degeneracy of the genetic code in two manners: having more than one tRNA (with a specific anti-codon) for a particular amino acid; and 'wobble' base-pairing, i.e. permitting non-standard base-pairing at the 3rd anti-codon position. Lineage: Bacteria; Bacillati; Actinomycetota; Actinomycetes; Bifidobacteriales; Bifidobacteriaceae. The record is from RNAcentral.
GAUUAGCUCAGCUGGUUAGAGCGCCACCUUUACACGGUGGAUGUCGGGGGUUCGAAUCCCUCAUCGCC